This 531-nucleotide ribosomal RNA is filed under the name uncultured bacterium. RNAcentral's name for it is "bacterial SSU rRNA". It matches the Rfam family "Bacterial small subunit ribosomal RNA", at positions 235 to 770 of the family's 1533-position model. The record is from RNAcentral.
GGCCGAUUAGCUAGUUGGCGGGGUAACGGCCCACCAAGGCAAAGAUCGGUAGCUGGACUGAGAGGUUGGCCAGCCACACUGGAACUGAGACACGGUCCAGACUCCUACGGGAGGCAGCAGUGGGGAAUCUUGCACAAUGGGCGAAAGCCUGAUGCAGCAACGCCGCGUGGGGGAUGAAGCUUUUCGGAGUGUAAACCCCCCCUCGACCCGGAAGAAAGCCCGCAAGGGUUUGACGGUACGGGUAUAAGAAGCCCCGGCUAACUACGUGCCAGCAGCCGCGGUAAUACGUAGGGGGCCAGCGUUGCUCGGAAUUACUGGGCGUAAAGGGUCUGUAGGCGGUGUAGCAAGUCGAGAGUGAAAUCCCUGGGCUUAACCCAGGGGCUGCUAACGAAACUGCUAUGCUAGAGUGUGAGAGAGGCAAGUGGAAUUACGGGUGUAGCGGUGAAAUGCGUAGAUAUCCGUAGGAACAUCCGAGGCGAAGGCGGCUUGCUGGAUCACAACUGACGCUGAGAGACGAAAGCUAGGGGAGCA